AGAGUGAACGCUGGCGGUAGGCCUAACACAUGCAAGUCGAACGGCAGCACAGUGGUAGCAAUACCAUGGGUGGCGAGUGGCGGACGGGUGAGGAAUACAUCGGAAUCUACCUUUUCGUGGGGGAUAACGUAGGGAAACUUACGCUAAUACCGCAUACGCCCUUCGGGGGAAAGCCGGGGAUCGCAAGACCUGGCGCGGAUAGAUGAGCCGAUGUCGGAUUAGCUAGUUGGUGAGGUAAUGGCUCACCAAGGCGACGAUCCGUAGCUGGUCUGAGAGGAUGAUCAGCCACACUGGAACUGAGACACGGUCCAGACUCCGUACGGGAGGCAGCAGGUGGGAAUAGUUGGACAAGUGGCACAAGCCUGAUCCAGCCAUACCGCGU
RNAcentral lists this ribosomal RNA (382 nucleotides) under uncultured soil bacterium. RNAcentral describes it as "bacterial SSU rRNA". It matches the Rfam family "Bacterial small subunit ribosomal RNA", at positions 26 to 402 of the family's 1533-position model. The record is from RNAcentral.